AGAAGCUCUUUGUAAGGCAUUCCAAAACCCAAAUCAAUACAAAAUAUUUGUUUUCUCUCUUCUUCUAUUCCUCCUUCCCUUUCUUUCUCUAUUUCCCUCUCUAAUUUCUAUUCUUUUCCGUGAUUAAGAACCUGGAUACAUGACAGUCUCAUUUCUGACAGGGUGAAUUUUUUAGUUGAAUCCAUUUGUCACAAAAAAAUAAGAAAAAAAGCAUAACCACGGGGAAUUAAAUUGUACUUUCCCCUAAAAAACAUGUAGAUAAAGAAACUGCCAUGAAGGACAUUGAGAACUUCUGGCAUGUCUUUCAGCUUGAACAAAUACUCAUUACCAGAUGAUAAGAAUUACAAGAGAGGAGAAAAAUAAGGGGAGCAAAAUACAUACCCUGUUUUUCCUACUGAAUGAUGAGUCUCCAGAAAAGAACUUAAUAUUUGGGUGUGUACGCUGCAAAUCACGGUCAAUCUGAUCUGCAAUCUCUGUAUG
RNAcentral lists this unclassified non-coding RNA (480 nucleotides) under Hevea brasiliensis (rubber tree). The record is from RNAcentral. Lineage: Eukaryota; Viridiplantae; Streptophyta; Magnoliopsida; Malpighiales; Euphorbiaceae.